UUUUUUUUUUUUUUUUUUGGUGACAGGAUCUCAUUCUGUUGCCCAGGCUGGAGUGCAGUGGCAUGAUCUCGGCUCACUGCAGCCUCCGCCUCUCGAGUUCAAGCGAUUCUCCUGUCUCAGCCUCCUGAGUACCUGGGAUUACGGGCAUGUAUCACCAUGCCUGGCUCAUUUUUGUAUUUUUAGUAGUUUCACCAUGUUGGCCAGGCUGGUCUCCAACUCUUGACCUCAGGUGAUCCACCCGCCUCAGCCUCCCAAAGUGCUGGAAUUAUAGGCAUGAGCCACCAUGCCCAGUAUUUUUUUUUUUUUUUUUUGAGAUAGUCUCGCUCUGUCAUCCAGGCUGGAGUGCAGUGGCACGAUCUGGGCUCACUGCAACCUCUGCCUCCCACGUUCAAGCGAUUCUCAUGUCUCAGCCUCCCGAGUAGCUGGGAUUACAAGUGUGCACCACCAUGCCCGGCUAAUUUUUGUAUUUCUGGUAGAGAUGGAGUUUUGCCAUGUUGGCCAGGCUGGUCUCAAACUCCUGGUCUCAAGUGAUCUGCCCGCCUGUAGUCCCAGCUACUUGGGAGGCUGAGGUAGGAGGAUUCCUUGAGCCUGAGAGGUCGAGGCUACAGUGAGCCAUGAUCAAGCCACUGCUCUCCAGCCUGGGAGACAGAGCAAGCCCCUACCUCAAAAACAAACACACACCUGAGUAACAAAAGAAUAGAUAUGGUAGCUGCUCAAGUAGUGAUGAAGUACACUGAACUAUCCUCUACCUGUGUGUGUGUUCAAAAAUUUCCAACUGAAAGACAAGAUGUUCACAUUGAACUUGUUCCCACCCAUUACCACUCCACUGCUAGCCUUCUCCAUUUCAGUUAAUGGCAAUUCCAUUCUUCCCACUGCUCAGACCAAAAACCUUGGAGUCACCCUUGACUGCUUUCUUUUGGUCAUACCCCCACCUCCAAUCAGUCAAGAAAUCCUGUUUGCUCCAUGUUCAAAAUAUAUUCAAAAUCUGACUACUUUUUUAUCACUCCAUUGGUAUCACCCCAGUCGCCAUCCAGGACACCAUUGUCUCUUGCCUGGAUUAUUAUUACAAUAGCCUCCUAACUGUUCAUCCUACUUCCCAUUCUCCCCUACCCUCAUAGACAUUCACAAGACCAGAAUGAAGAGUGAUCCUUUUAGGAUGCAAGGUAGAUCAUGUAAUUCUCUGUUCAAAAACCUCCAAUAGAUGCAUCCUCCAUUCAAAGAAAGAACCCAAGUCUUCACCAAGGUCUACAAAGCCUGCAACAUCUGGCCCCCACCAUUAUCUUCCUGUCUCAUUUCCUACUAUUC
Molecule: long non-coding RNA, 1305 nt
Filed under: Macaca fascicularis (crab-eating macaque)
Lineage: Eukaryota; Metazoa; Chordata; Mammalia; Primates; Cercopithecidae
Description: lncRNA (ENSMFAG00000056703.1)
Source: RNAcentral